RNAcentral lists this ribosomal RNA (174 nucleotides) under Lasiurus intermedius (northern yellow bat). Its description in RNAcentral is "Dasypterus intermedius (northern yellow bat) partial 16S ribosomal RNA". The record is from RNAcentral. Lineage: Eukaryota; Metazoa; Chordata; Mammalia; Chiroptera; Vespertilionidae.
AGAGGCAAUAAUGUUAAUAUGAGUAAUAAGAAAUAUUUCUCCUUGCAUGCGUGUAUACCAGAUCGGAUGAACCACUGGUAAUUAUCAAAAUCAAAACAUACUAUAAAUAAACAAACACUAUUUAUUGUUAGUCCAACACAGGAAUGCGAAUAAAAGAAGUAAAAGGAACUCGGC